Molecule: ribosomal RNA, 115 nt
Filed under: Aeromonas caviae
Lineage: Bacteria; Pseudomonadati; Pseudomonadota; Gammaproteobacteria; Aeromonadales; Aeromonadaceae
Description: partial 16S ribosomal RNA
Rfam family: Bacterial small subunit ribosomal RNA
Source: RNAcentral
UUAAAUUGAAGAGUUUGAUCAUGGCUCAGAUUGAACGCUGGCGGCAGGCCUAACACAUGCAAGUCGAGCGGCAGCGGGAAAGUAGCUUGCUACUUUUGCCGGCGAGCGGCGGACG